ACAAAGGGGAAGUCCCCCAACAAAGCAAAAAAGAACGCGACUACCGAGAGCUAUAAGGAAGUUUCUUCCACUCGAAUGCGGAGGAGCAAUAGCCGUGUGCACUUAUAAACAUGCGCAGCGCUGUCGUAUGUUACGCUCCUCGUGUCGAGCUAUACACAAACGAUGGUGUCACCGUGCACGCGGCUUGUUGACACGCGACUGUGGUGUUCUAAAGCUCGAUCGUCGCAUCUGUGGCAUUAGUGGAUAGGAAGGACCACGCGCGUCGCCAGCAGGCCAGACGUAAUGUAAACAGCGACUGCUUGUGCGGCGAGCGUGUAGCGACGACAGUAAUGCUCGACAUCGGCUGACGCCCGAGGACCCAGCGACGACAACACAACACAGAUAAACGGAGUAGCCUAUCGAGGUGCUCUUUACUUCAAUCUCUCCACGACAAUCGAGGCGCGCGAAAUGACUGGAGGGACCGAAAUCACCACUGGCCUCGACAUUUCGACUCUGAGCAGCAGCGGUUACAGACAGACUACGCACACACAGAUCACGCGAGCGGAAUGCCGCGAAGUACAGUGCGUUCGAAGCACCCGCGACUUGGCGCGCCUAGUAAUCAUGCCGUGAUCGAGUGCUCCCAAGACCACGGGCGGAUGACGAGGCACAGAGGAGGCUAAGCGCAGGAAGACUUGCUAUCGGGUUCUUCCCAUCGCUUCACGCAAAGAACAGCGGUGUCAAAUGCCACCAAUGGAACAGGACACUUUCCGCGUGUCCGCACAGUCUGAUUUUUGUGUGUGUGUGUGCUUUUAUUUCGUAAAAAUUCUUGCUCCCGUAUCGUGCUUUCCCCCAUAAUGAACAAGUGCUAGGCAUUGAAAUAUAAGUGAACUCUCAGCGGCAUUAGUUAUUAAUAUGUUUCAUCAUUUUCUUUUUGAUAACGAGAGCAUUAGAUCAAA
Long non-coding RNA from Rhipicephalus sanguineus (brown dog tick), 935 nucleotides. RefSeq lists it as uncharacterized. NCBI's taxonomy places the organism in Eukaryota, Metazoa, Arthropoda, Arachnida, Ixodida, Ixodidae. The transcript is spliced from 3 exons. The record is from RefSeq and is a predicted model, not a curated record.